GUGGGGAAUCUUGCGCAAUGGGCGAAAGCCUGACGCAGCCAUGCCGCGUGAAUGAUGAAGGUCUUAGGAUUGUAAAAUUCUUUCACCGGGGACGAUAAUGACGGUACCCGGAGAAGAAGCUCCGGCUAACUUCGUGCCAGCAGCCGCGGUAAUACGAAGGGGGCUAGCGUUGUUCGGAAUCACUGGGCGUAAAGCGCACGUAGGCGGACCAUUAAGUCAGGGGUGAAAGCCUGGAGCACAACUCCAGAACUGCCUUUGAUACUGAUGGUCUCGAGUUCGGAAGAGGUUGGUGGAACUGCGAGUGUAGAGGUGAAAUUCGUAGAUAUUCGCAAGAACACCAGUGGCGAAGGCGGCCAACUGGUCCGAUACUGACGCUGAGGUGCGAAAGCGUGGGGAGCAAACAGGAUUAGAAACCCCUGUAGUCC
RNAcentral lists this ribosomal RNA (425 nucleotides) under uncultured bacterium. Its description in RNAcentral is "partial 16S ribosomal RNA". It matches the Rfam family "Bacterial small subunit ribosomal RNA", at positions 354 to 796 of the family's 1533-position model. The record is from RNAcentral.